Molecule: long non-coding RNA, 714 nt
Filed under: Monodelphis domestica (gray short-tailed opossum)
Lineage: Eukaryota; Metazoa; Chordata; Mammalia; Didelphimorphia; Didelphidae
Description: lncRNA (ENSMODG00000045237.1)
Source: RNAcentral
AUGGCAGAGGAGGACUUAAUCCUUAUUCGGGCUCCAAACAAACUACAUGCUACCUCAUGCCAGUGGGCUUUGGAGAGUCAUACAGACCUGUGCCUGAAGGGAGCUGAGAAUUACCAAGUCCAGUUCGGUGUCUUCCUACUUACCAGUGUAAGGGCAGCUCUCAGGCUAAGGACAAAGCUUUUGUAUGUUCUAAAGAAGUCAAGGCUUUCUGAAAAUGAGGUGAAUUUGGUAGAAAAGAAAGAACACCAGAUUUGGAGACAGAGGACUGGGAUUCAAAUUCUGAAUCUGUUACUACUACAUGCUACUAAAAGCCAUUUAAGCUCUGGCAAUAGUACUAUUGGAUAGUCACAUUUUUUUUUUUGAUCAACCCCAUACCAUUGAUGUCUCCCAUUGUGAUAUGUUUUUCAUGUAUGUCACACACAUUACAUAUGUAAUUUUUCUAGUUAUUAGGCCUACAUUUUUUUUUUACUACAUUACGCUACUGAAGAUUUCUUGCAUAGUGAUCUUGAUAUUCAGUAUUUUGAUUUGUGUUUUCCAAAGGAAACUUUUAGGGCCCAAAUCAAAUUUUACUUUUUGACUAUAUUAAAAUCAUUUAAUUUUAGCCACAAGUGUUUAAUGCUGUGCUAACCAAAAUCAUACUUGUGAAAUGAAUUGUAUAUUUUUAAUGUACUAAAAGGUUUAAACAAAAUAAAACUAAUUUUAAAAAGAAAAAAC